AAAUGAACGAUGAACGUAUCAUUAAAAAAAUGUAUGGAGGUAGCUCUGAGAGCAACAUUCUACAUUUACUGCAGAAGAAACAAGCCCUGUUUCUACAGUUUAAAUUCGAGAAUACUAUAUUAUGCCUAUAGCUUCACGGCCUGUGUUCCACCCAAGACAAUUUAAAAAUUUAAUUUAAAAAUAUUUAUAAUGCGCUAAAACUAUAUAAAUAUUCUAAAGCGCAUGUUUACAAUAUAAUAACAUAAAAAAUAACAAUGUCGCAUAUCUAUAUAAUUAUUAAUUACAGGAAAGUUAAAAAAUGUAUCAUAAAACUAGUAAGGGCUACACAGGUAUGUCAAAGGCUUUCUAAAAACAAAUAAGUAUUCAAACGUUUCUUAAAGACUGGUUACAGUCCGUGCUGCGCAUGUGCGAUUCUUUUUGUUUUGGUAGACUACUUAUCUCUCGUUUCCAUGGUUUCCAGUCCGAUUGCGUAAUAUACGCGCGAUUCUAUAUUUGUUGAUACAAGGAUUGGGAAUACACAGUUUCGUUUUCAACGAUUUGUGACUUUUAUGAAGUGAAAUCCGAUUAAUAACAAAUUAUCGAAACAAUAUGAGAAGAAAGAAAGAAUAUUACGCCAACAAGGAUGCCUUUAAAGUGUGUUUAUUUGAAAUUCAGUCAAGCGCUUCGCCAUGUCGAAGUUAUACUGUCAUAUAAAAGGUAAAUAUUUGUUUUAUACAUUUGAUUAUUUCGUUCUCCAGAGUCGAGACUGGAUCUCUAAUUCGCUGUGAAUUUGUGACAAUUUUUAAGCUAGGGCAAUUUUAUUCAUUUACUGUCUGAGAAAAGAUGGGAUCUCUGAGUUUAUAAUUCAACUUGUUCGAGACAUGUAUUGAUGUAUAUUUGCAGUACUUCACCUCGGCUCAGUACUAUAGCUUGAUUCAGUCAAGGAUAAAAGCUGAUUUCAUCUUUAUAUGGCGAGCUGUUAUCAAAAUGCUACUGGGAUUGAGUUAUUGGAUGAUUAUUGUUUUGUAAUUCAUAUAUCAGGCACAGGGCCUUUUUUAAGGAUUUUCCCGUGGGGGGGGGGGGCAUUUUUUGAAAAGGGACCUUUCUGUGAGAUAAUAUUCUAGAGGGGGAUAGCAAUGGCUGAAAGCCACGUGUGUGGCAAAUAUACCACGCAUGAAUUGGGGGGUCUGGGGGUGUACUCCCCCAGAAAAUUUUUGAAAUUUGACUCCCGGAAAUGUCAUUUCCUGCAUUCUGAGCAUCCAAAUUUGCCCCAAAAUUUAUCCUAACUGGCCAACUAUACUUCUAUUUGAAAUAAAUAAAGGAAGAAAUGCACAAAAAGUAAAAAAAAUUAACCAUCAUUUAUCAUUACUUAUUACAGGAGGAUAGCAAUGGUCAGGUGUGUGGGGGUGUACUCCCCCAGAAAAUGUUUGAAAUUUGAACCACGGAAAUGCCAUUUCCUGCAUUCUGAGCAUCCAAAUUUGCUCUAAAAUCUAUGCUAACUAUAGUUGUAUUUGAAAUAAAAGAUGGAAAAAUGCACAAAAUUAGAAUAUUAACUGUAAUAACUAUAAAAAAGAAUAUUAACUGUAAUUUAUCAUUACUUAUUAGAGGGAUAAUCCCAAGAAAAUUUUUGAAAUUUGAAACCGUGAAAUGCUAUUUCCUGCAUUCUGAGCAUCCAAAAAAAUAAAAAAAAUAUUAACAAUAAUUUAUCAUUACUUAGUGGUAAAAAAAGUAACAAUUUAAAUCGAUUUUGUUAAAUAAGAACAAAGGAUAAAGCCUAAAACUUACUUUCCGUUUAUCUAUUUGUUAAUCUUCGCUGGAUUGUUUAUAUAAUUUUAGGAAAAAGGGACUUUUCCUGGGGGGGCAAAAUGUGAUUUCGUGGGGGGGGGGGCACAAUGGGGGAAAUGCCCCCCCCAGCUUGUAUGUUAAAAAAGGCCCUGAUCAGGCAUCUCCAGAUGAACUUUCUGGUAGCAUGCAGAAUAUAUUGAAUUUUUUUACAUGACAUGAUUGAUUAACAUACUGAAUAAAAUUUCUAUUAUGCUGUACUAUAGGUUACCUUGAGCUCAUGGAAACAUUACAGAUUGUACAACACUAACAUCGAAUAAACAUGGUGAUGAGUGUGGAGAUGUGGUUAUAACAACCAUAUAGUGGUUAACCAAUCAGAAACAAAUUUAAAGAGAGGAAUAAAUAUAGAAGAAACAAUACAGAUUGGAUGCUGAUGAAACAAAGAUGGAAGAAUGUAUUGUCUUAUAAUAACAAUUCACAUUACAUAAGAGCACAAGUAUUGUUUAUGAGUUGGAUUAAUUUGAUUGAGUUGAGAAUAGUUUGAUUGACUUGGGAAUAUUAUCCAGUGCUGGUUGAGAGACAGAAAAUUAUGUCCUUAAAUAGCCACCUAUAAAAUGUUUUCUAGUUCUAUUUCCUGUAGCUACUUUAUAUAUUUCAUUAUCUUUUUGUAUGGAUAUAUGAUAACUGAUUUCAAGCACCAUGUUUCAUGCCAUGUGAACAAAAAUGUAGUAUAGCAGUUUUAACAUUCUGGCUAAAAUAGUUAUCUGGCCAACAUUGAGAUAUAAAUACUGAUAGUUUUGGUGGAGAUAACAUUACCAUCAUGUAACAUAGUCAGGGGGGGAAUUUUCUAAUCCUUACAUCUGCUUUGUUUUGUUUUAGAUGUUUAACAACG
Paramuricea clavata is the source of this 2653-nucleotide non-coding RNA. The record is from the annotation of a GenBank genome assembly. NCBI's taxonomy places the organism in Eukaryota, Metazoa, Cnidaria, Anthozoa, Malacalcyonacea, Plexauridae.